RNAcentral lists this ribosomal RNA (468 nucleotides) under uncultured bacterium. RNAcentral describes it as "partial 16S ribosomal RNA". It matches the Rfam family "Bacterial small subunit ribosomal RNA", at positions 28 to 507 of the family's 1533-position model. The record is from RNAcentral.
GACGAACGCUGGCGGCAUGCCUAACACAUGCAAGUCGAACGGAACGGCCCUGCCUUGUUGCGCACCUCUAGUGAAGAACGGGGGAGUUACCCGUAAGUAACGUACCCCUGACUGCGGGAGGUCCUCAUGCAACUUGGUCUAAUACGGCCUAGGAGCUCCUGCUGCAGGGUGGGCGUUGGUUAGUUUCGGCGGUUGGUAAUGGAAUAGCGGCCCAUCAGCUUGUUGGUGGGGUAGUGGCAUAGCAUGGCCUUGCAGGGUAGCCGUCCUGCGAGGAGGAGCCGCCACAUUGGGACUGAGAUACGGCCCAGACUACUACGGGAGGCAGCAGUGGGGAAUAUUGCACAAUGGGCGGAAGCCUGGUGUAGCAAAGCCGCGUGCGGGAUGACGGCCUUCGGGUUGUAAACCGCUUUCGCCUGAGACGAAGCGUGAGUGACGGUAAUGGGUAAAGAAGCACCGGCUAACUACGUG